This is a non-coding RNA of Hemibagrus wyckioides, 384 nucleotides long. NCBI's taxonomy places the organism in Eukaryota, Metazoa, Chordata, Actinopteri, Siluriformes, Bagridae. The record is from the annotation of a RefSeq genome assembly.
AUGACUAAAAUUAUAAUCUCAAGUAUCAUUCUUAUCAGUCUUGAAGCCACAGUUUUCUCUUCCCUCAACAUCCAGCAAUUACCACAACAUCUACUAAUAAAACCUGAGCAGAGGGAAGCGAAGCUCAGCUGCCGGCAUGGCGAUAACAACUAUCCCUACAUGUUCUGGUACCAACAAAAGGCAGUUGUUGAAUCCACUGAGCUCAUUGGAAUGCUUCAUUAUGAAAGAUAUACUCCUGAGGAGAACUUUAAAACACGAUUCAACAUUACAGGACACUCUAAGGGGGAUGCAUCUUUGCUUAUUUCCAGUCUAACUCCUGAGGACAGUGCAGUAUAUUUCUGUGCUGCUAGUAAGCACAGCCACACACUUUCCCUUUCUGUUUAA